Molecule: long non-coding RNA, 1000 nt
Organism: Gasterosteus aculeatus aculeatus (three-spined stickleback)
Lineage: Eukaryota; Metazoa; Chordata; Actinopteri; Perciformes; Gasterosteidae
Source: Ensembl
UGUAAUCUGUGAUAUUACUUCUUUAUUUAUUUAUGUUUUGCAGAGUAUAAAUACAAACAAAGGAUGACGAACAGAUCUGUACGAGUGCACGCUGCGACGUGUCGCUACGCUCAUCCUCACCAUAACUGCUCCCGCUCUUCCUGGUUAAGAGAUUGGUGCGGUUUAAUACGACCAAGCAGAUCUUCAUUACAGUUGGUAAAGCUGUGUCGUUAUCUCCCCCCUUACCCUCCCUCUCUCCCUCCCUCCUACUCUCCAUCUAUUCUCUACUGCGCUCUCUCUCUCUCUCUGUGUGCACUCUGCGCAUGUAACUAUGAAGAGUCUGAAAACAGGAUUGAAAUAACCACAGUCUCCAUCGUCUGAUUAAUAACUGUGUACACUAUAUUAUAAUAAGGCAAAAAAGUAUUGAUUAAAAUUAAUUUCAAACAAAAAGCAACAAAAAGAAGGAUUUUUGCUUCUUUUCCAUUACAGAUUCUUACAUCCAGAAGAAAAUUGCACCUGAUUACAAUUCUGCCCGACUGCGCUCGAAUCCUAUCUAUCAAUUCCUCUCUAGAGACGAGGCAAAAAAUAGCAGAGGAGCUGCGGAGUAUUUCCUCCUUCAGGUCCUUGGUCCUGGUUCUGUUGUUAUUGUUGCCGUAGUUGUAGCUGUUACUGCGCAGCUCCAUCCUGUCAAGGUCCUUGUGUGUUGGGAAGAGGGCAGCAGGCACGCAGGUGUUAGUGGGGAUGGCGGACAAGGGGGCUGGAGGGACGGGAAGCAUGCAGUUCAGGGGAGAGAGGAGAGAGGGUAGCGGGAUAAAAAUAAAAACUCAGCUAAAUUCUACCCAGUCACCACCAUUAGAAAAAUCCAUUUGGAUCUGCACAAGACAAAACCAAAAAGGAAGACAAAAAAAGAUGUCCCAAGAUGUAAAACAUACAUAUAUAAGCCGUGAAGGUAUAUAUGUAUAAGGAUCCAAGGGAGAAGGAGGAGAAGGACGGGAGAUAAGGGAUGGACGGACGAGGAGGA